This 1346-nucleotide ribosomal RNA is filed under the name uncultured bacterium. RNAcentral describes it as "bacterial SSU rRNA". It matches the Rfam family "Bacterial small subunit ribosomal RNA", at positions 28 to 1381 of the family's 1533-position model. The record is from RNAcentral.
GACGAACGCUGGCGGCGUGCUUAACACAUGCAAGUCGAACGGAAAGGCCCUGCUUUUGUGGGGUGCUCGAGUGGCGAACGGGUGAGUAACACGUGAGUAACCUGCCCUUGACUUUGGGAUAACUUCAGGAAACUGGGGCUAAUACCGGAUAGGAGCUCCUGCUGCAUGGUGGGGGUUGGAAAGUUUCGGCGGUUGGGGAUGGACUCGCGGCUUAUCAGCUUGUUGGUGGGGUAGUGGCUUACCAAGGCUUUGACGGGUAGCCGGCCUGAGAGGGUGACCGGCCACAUUGGGACUGAGAUACGGCCCAGACUCCUACGGGAGGCAGCAGUGGGGAAUAUUGCACAAUGGGCGGAAGCCUGAUGCAGCAACGCCGCGUGCGGGAUGACGGCCUUCGGGUUGUAAACCGCUUUCGCCUGUGACGAAGCGUGAGUGACGGUAAUGGGUAAAGAAGCACCGGCUAACUACGUGCCAGCAGCCGCGGUGAUACGUAGGGUGCGAGCGUUGUCCGGAUUUAUUGGGCGUAAAGGGCUCGUAGGUGGUUGAUCGCGUCGGAAGUGUAAUCUUGGGGCUUAACCCUGAGCGUGCUUUCGAUACGGGUUGACUUGAGGAAGGUAGGGGAGAAUGGAAUUCCUGGUGGAGCGGUGGAAUGCGCGGAUAUCAGGAGGAACACCAGUGGCGAAGGCGGUUCUCUGGGCCUUUCCUGACGCUGAGGAGCGAAAGCGUGGGGAGCGAACAGGCUUAGAUACCCUGGUAGUCCACGCUGUAAACGGUGGGUACUAGGUGUGAGGUCCAUUCCACGGGUUCCGUGCCGUAGCUAACGCUUUAAGUACCCCGCCUGGGGAGUACGGCCGCAAGGCUAAAACUCAAAGGAAUUGACGGGGCCCCGCACAAGCGGCGGAGCAUGCGGAUUAAUUCGAUGCAACGCGUAGAACCUUACCUGGGUUCGACAUGGAUCGGGAGCGCUCAGAGAUGGGUGUGCCUCUUUUGGGGUCGGUUCACAGGUGGUGCAUGGCUGUCGUCAGCUCGUGUCGUGAGAUGUUGGGUUAAGUCCCGCAACGAGCGCAACCCUUGUUCACUGUUGCCAGCACGUUAUGGUGGGGACUCAGUGGAGACCGCCGGGGUCAACUCGGAGGAAGGUGGGGAUGACGUCAAGUCAUCAUGCCCCUUAUGUCCAGGGCUUCACGCAUGCUACAAUGGCUGGUACAGAGAGUGGCGAGCCUGUGAGGGUGAGCGAAUCUCGGAAAGCCGGUCUCAGUUCGGAUUGGGGUCUGCAACUCGACCUCAUGAAGUCGGAGUCGCUAGUAAUCGCAGAUCAGCAACGCUGCGGUGAAUACGUUCCCGGGGCU